ACUCCUACGGGAGGCAGCAGUCGAGAAUAUUUAGCAAUGGACGAAAGUCUGACUAUGCGACGCCGCGUGAGGGAUGAAGUAUUUCGGUAUGUAAACCUCUUUCGAUGGGGAAGAAACUACCUAUAGUAAUAUAGGAACUGACGGUACCCAGAGAAGAAGCCAUGGCCAACUCCGUGCCAGCAGCCGCGGUAAUACGGGGAUGGCGAGCGUUACUCGGAUUUACUGGGUGUAAAGGGCAGGUAGGUGGCUUUGUAAGUUGAAGGUGAAAUGCUCUGACUCAAUCAGAGAACUGCCUUCAAAACUGCAUUGCUUGAGGAUUGGAGAGGAGAGCGGAAUUCCAGGUGUAAGGGUGAAAUCUGUAGAUAUCUGGAGGAACACCAGUGGCGAAAGCGGCUCUCUGGCCAAUAUCUGACACUAAGCUGCGAAAGCUAGGGGAGCAAACAGGAUUAGAUACCCUGGUAGUCCUAGCCGUAAACGAUGAGUACUAGGUGUUGGGGGUUAAACCCUCAGCGCCGUAAGGUAACCUGUUAAGUACUCCACCUGAAGACUACGACCGCAAGGUUAAAACUCAAAGGAAUUGACGGGG
This 586-nucleotide ribosomal RNA is filed under the name uncultured bacterium. RNAcentral's name for it is "bacterial SSU rRNA". It matches the Rfam family "Bacterial small subunit ribosomal RNA", at positions 335 to 918 of the family's 1533-position model. The record is from RNAcentral.